CCUACGGGAGGCAGCAGUGAGGAAUAUUGGUCAAUGGGCGCGAGCCUGAACCAGCCAAGUCGCGUGAGGGAGGACGGCCCUACGGGUUGUAAACCUCUUUUGCCGGGGAGCAACGGGCGUCACGUGUGGCGCCACUGAGAGUACCCGGAGAAAAAGCAUCGGCUAACUCCGUGCCAGCAGCCGCGGUAAUACGGAGGAUGCGAGCGUUAUCCGGUUUUAUUGGGUUUAAAGGGUGCGUAGGCGGAUCGUUAAGUCAGGGGUAAAAUGGAGGGGCUCAACCCCUUCCAGCCAUUGAAACUGGCGCUCUUGAGUGGAAGAGAAGUAUGCGGAAUGCGUGGUGUAGCGGUGAAAUGCAUAGAUAUCACGCAGAACCCCGAUUGCGAAGGCAGCAUGCCGGCUUCCGACUGACGCUGAAGCACGAAAGCGUGGGGAUCGAACAGGAUUAGAUACCCGGGUAGUC
Molecule: ribosomal RNA, 460 nt
Filed under: uncultured bacterium
Lineage: Bacteria
Description: partial 16S ribosomal RNA
Rfam family: Bacterial small subunit ribosomal RNA
Source: RNAcentral